GAGAGUCCAUAAUUUGGACGAUAAAUUGCUGGAGCAGAAAGAGAUCUCAAAGUCGAUUAUGGAGAAUGUUGGUGAUACGAAAGGAAGUAUUGAGGAACUUUACGUUACCGUGACUGAGUUGCAAAGGGCGCUUACUGGUUUGGAUUACAAGCUAGGUUCCAUUCAGAAAAGCAGG
Molecule: non-coding RNA, 175 nt
Organism: Prunus mume (Japanese apricot)
Lineage: Eukaryota; Viridiplantae; Streptophyta; Magnoliopsida; Rosales; Rosaceae
Source: RefSeq, a predicted model, not a curated record